CUAGUAUCAAUGUAAAACGAUAGAAGCUAUAGUUUUUAUACGAAGUUCAUUUUUUUUUAAACACUAGUUAUAUUCAUUAUAAUCCAGUUACACAAGCCGGAGAUUCCACGAAUUCCGGUAGAAACAGAGGCCAACGAACCAAAAGUUCUCAGAAACAGAAGCCGACGAACCAAACAAAGAUUCUCGGAAACAGAAGCCCACACAAGGGAAACAAGGAUUAAAAAAGAUACAAAACAUAGAACUAAGCUAAUUGAUCUGAACUAGAAGGCAAGAGUGACAGAUUAAAGAAACCUUUACAAAACACAGAAUAAGAUAGUAUGCAGAUUUGAUAGAGCUUCUUUGAAAACGAGACAAGGCGAGGAAGUCAUCUAUGACUAUAAACCUCCAGCUUGUGACUCCUCCUAUGAUGAAUAGCCCAGACGAAUUAGAGAACAAAGCUUCAUAUCCAGGAGACAGAGCAAUUUCAAUUCAUAAGUCUUCAACCGGAAAGACGAUGGCGGAGAAGAUACCACGAAACGCCAUAACUGAAGCCAUAUGGAAGGGAAGAUCUCGAUCAAAUCUUAAAGUUGAUGACAAGGAGCGAGACAAACUCACAUACCGGUACAAACUAUCCCGAUAGAUCAAGAUAGCUUAAGAUCGAGCCCAAAUAUGAGCCAAAGAGAGCUCAAAAUCGACAUGCAAACUCAUUCAAAUCAACACAAGGUUUCAAACAAAAUCCAAUCUGAAAGGAGAAGAACACAAACCACUCUGCCUAGAAAGAUCGAUAAUACAAAACAAGAUCGACUCCGACUCUAUGGAAACAGCCGGAGUCGGUGAAACGGUGGAAUCAGUAGAAGGAAACCAAGAGAGAAGGCAGAGGAAUAAAAGAGAGAGAAAUAUACGAAGUUCAUUAAAUUACUUAAAAUCUGAUUAAAAAUAAAUGCUGUAAAUAUAUUAUAAAUAUUGAAAAAGAUUUUUUUAAUCCAGUCAGUUUUUG
This 976-nucleotide long non-coding RNA is filed under the name Brassica napus (rape). Its description in RNAcentral is "long non-coding RNA (BNAP_LNC005185)". Lineage: Eukaryota; Viridiplantae; Streptophyta; Magnoliopsida; Brassicales; Brassicaceae. The record is from RNAcentral.